RNAcentral lists this long non-coding RNA (4241 nucleotides) under Malus domestica (apple). Its description in RNAcentral is "long non-coding RNA (MDOM_LNC004423)". Lineage: Eukaryota; Viridiplantae; Streptophyta; Magnoliopsida; Rosales; Rosaceae. The record is from RNAcentral.
UAUCACAUUAAUGCUAGGGACUUGAAUCAAAAUUUGAGAACUAAUAAGGUGUUAGUCAAUGAACAGUAAAAACUAGGGACCGGACAUAUAUAUAUAUAUAUAUAUAGACCCUUAUGCAAAGUGAUCCCCAAAAAAUGGGGAUUAGGUGUGGCGUCUACUCUAUAUUCAACUUCAACGAUCUGAACCGUCUAUCUUGCAAGUCUUGAUUCAUAGAUUAUCAUUACAAAAAUUCAAUUCAAUCCGAAACCAUUUACCUAUUUAAUUAUCAAGAUAAAAUUUCAUUAUUUCUUAUACAACAAAGUAUUCGUUAAUUUUUUUGAAUCCAAUUAGAUGUCUUAAAUAUUUCUGAUUUGGCUACUAUUUUGCAAGGAUGAUCAAUGAGGUGCAACUUGAAAAAUAGACAGUUCGGAUCAUUACAUUUCAAUGUGGUGUGGAUCCCACAACAAAUCCCUAAUUUUAUAAAAAAAUGAAAACCCCUUCCCUUAUAUAUAUAUAUAUAUAUAUAUAUAUAUUGAACCGAUUAUGACAAGGGUGGAUCUACGUUAGUGCAAUUUUUUUGCAGGUCUUGCGCUGCUAUAUACACCUUUCCAGGUAAACUGCAAGUAACAAUUUUGUUGUGGGGUUCCUUGCGUUCAUUAUUUAACUCUAUACGGCAGUCAUUAUUUUGUUGCUGGCAUGCAUUAGUUUGAACUAAAGUUUUAACACGAAUUUUUUUGUGUGGUGGUUCUGAACAUUAACAUUUAAGCAGUAGUUUGAUACAUAAAACUUUAUGUCUCUCGUUGUCCUCCUUUUAAAUGCCUGAUUUUUAUUUGAUUGGUGACUACAAUCAUUUACUUAGCUAUAUGACUAUUGUCAUUACUAAUGAAUUUUUGCAAGUUAAUUUCACAAUACCAUUUAAAUUGUGGGGAUGGAGAGCCCUUGUACGGAAAAGUUCAUGCAUGUGAUAACAUACUUGAAAAUCUGGGGUAUAGCUAAGAAAAUACCAAGACAACUACAAUAUGUAGUUGUUGUGAAUUCAUACCUGAUGAAACACGUAAUUGGAGUACCUUCAAAAGUCUUAGAGAGAUACUUUUUGUACAAAAUAAAUGAGAGGUACUCUUUGUUAUUGGAUAGUGUAUGGUGAGUUUUACGUUUCAUGUAUGAUGAUAAUAUUUAUCUUCACUAUGAUACUUACCUUGACAUAUUGAGAUGCGAUGUCUAGAGCUAUCCUAAUUAGACAUGAACGUCCACUAUGAAAUACCAAUUGGUAGUAUUAAAGAGGACUAACAUUGGAUGGCAAAUGUUCUUAAAAUCCUAUAUAUGUAAGAGACUAGUUCUUACUAUAUUUGUUAUCGAGGUAUCCCACUAUUUGUGGAAGAUACCAGUUUAUCUGUGUUUGUAUGUGGCGCUAACCUAGCUAUUAGAGCUUGAGCUGAAUAUAACUUUAUCUUGCAUAUAUGCAUCCAUAUAAUAUUUUGAAGUCAGAAAUGGAUCUAGCUAAUCCUCUGACAAAUCCACUAAGCUAAGUGCUAGUGAUGAUUAUGACAUCGAUGGGGAUAAGACUUAUGCGUAUAACAUCAAUCAAGAGUGAUGGUAACCCAACCUAUAUGAAUGGGGAUCACAGGAAAUAGGUUCAUAUGGGUAAGAACAUAUCACUUGUUGGUCGGCCAUGCACUAGCAAUUUAUAUCGAAUAUUAUUAUUGUUGAGAGUCUAUCCUUAUGGUAUAGAUAUGCAACUACUGUAGUGACCAAUGUUGAACUUAUUUUCUUAAUAUCAUAGCUUAUAUAUGGCUAGUGUGCUUGACUUGCAGUGCACACUUGAUGGAUUCAUCCAUAUGAGUGUGGGAAUGGGGAUGCUUCCUAUGAGAGCUUAGGCAAGUUAUUUAGAGUGCUCAUGAAAACCAGGUGGGCGCAUGGCCUAUUUGCGUCAACCGGCUCAUACAAGCUCGAUUAUGAGGAUUCAAUGUGGGUGACUAGUCCUAUGAUUCACGCAAAUAAAUCUUGGUUCAUAGAAAAUUUAAUCUUCACCAAAUUUAUGUGAGUUACCGCUAGCUCGUCCUAAGGCUAAUUCAUAGUCCUUGAGUUUGUUGUAUUUUGAAAUAUGUGGGGAAUUAGAAUAUUUAAGGGUAUUUCAAAAUACAAGUGUUUAAUAUCAUAUAAUUCAUAUAGAUAUUUUCCUCUUCUUGAUUGCUAUCCAAAUGGUAUUUAUAUUGACUCAUUAUUAUCAAAUUCAAGGUAUUUGAAGGUCUUUAAUUCCUAUUGGACGGUUUCCAUUCCAACGCUCAUAUUGCUUCCGUUAAUAUCACUUCGUAACGUUAUUCUUUAGUAUUGAAUUUAAGGGUAUUCACUUCCUAAUGUUUUUAACCCUAUAUAUAUGCUUGUUAGUCAAUAUUGUCAAAAAUGAAGAUGACAAUCAUCUCCUCUUCUUUCUUCUUCUAUCCUUUUGAUCCAUCAUUCUGGAAAGUUUUAUUAUAUUCUUCAUCUUCACUCCCUCAUAUCAAAGGAAAAAAUUGAGUUGUUCACCCGAUCCAAGUAUUACGAGUGUACUCUUACGAGGAUUAUAGGUUUGUUGUAUUUUAGAGGGUAGGACGCUAUAACCUGCUACACCAAUACAUUGUCUUAGAGAGGGGAAUUCUAGUCUUAAGGACAGUGAACUUAAUGCCUCAACCUAAAAUCUUGUUAUAAUCAAGGAUUAACAAAGAGCGCUAUCUACCUACAAAAGAUAAGUAUUUUAUUCUUAUUUUGUUAUUUUAUUUAAUAAAUUGUGACAAUACAAUUAUCAUAUACUAAUAUUAAUUAUAUGUGAUUUGUUGUAGGAGAAGCAGCAUGCACAUUGCCAUAUUUUCAACAAGCUCCAACCAUAAUUGGCAGAAUCUCGAAUGCACAUCCCAAGAAAAAUUAUCAUAUACUAAUAUUAAUUUUAUGUGAUUUCUUGUAAUAAAAUGAUUACAUAGUUAUAUUCUUAGCUUGUACUACGUUCAUGGCCGUUAGACACAGCUUGCACGUGUAUGAGUACUUCCAGCUUGUCUACAUCGUGGGCAUGUCAUUUCAGCUUGUCAUUGCCUAGAGAUUACUCGGCAACGACGUGAUUAUAUUUUCAGCUUCCACUAGCUUCGGUUAGUGGAUGAUCACACACACACACAAACAUAUUAGCUUACACGUGUGUUGGGGUACCACAAUUAUAUUCAUAGCUUGUCAUUACCUCGAGAUUAUUCGAUAAUGACAUGAUUACAGUUAUAUUCUCAGCUUGUCAUUACCUCGAGAUUACUUGGUAAUGACAUGGUUACAGUAAUAUUCUCAGCUUGUCAUUGCCUAGAGAUUACUCGGCAAUGACAUUACCUAGCGAUUACUUGGUAAUGACACGGUUACAGUAAUAUUCUCAGCUUGUCAUUGCCUAGAGAUUACUCGGCAAUGAAUGAUAACAAUUGUAUUCUUAGCUUGUCAUUGCCUAGAGAUUACUCGGCAAUGACAUGAUUAUGUUAUCCAGCUUCCAGUAGCUACGGUAAGUGGAUGAUAUUGUAUGCUAUACCACCAGUAACUAUUGGCUUAGUAUAUAGGUGUCUAUCAGCUUUCAAUGCAAACAAGAUUCAGUAGACGUAGCAAUGGUCCUAUUCGACAUUGAGGCCUCUUCCCAAAGCUCUGACACGUUCUUACUAGGUAUGUUAUCUACUCAGCAUUAUUAGUAAAACUCGUAUUUUAGGCAACUAUGCUCUGAACUAUUAUUAAGCACGUAACUGAGGGUCGGAGACCCUAUUGCCCUUUGGGAUGUUUUGAUAUAAAUAUGAUUACCUGCAAGUGUUUUAAUUUGGGCUUAUCCCUAUUUUAGGGGAAGUUUUAUCGAAUUUUCGGUACAUUAUAUUAGUCCAUAAUUUUAGUUAUGAUUUCAUGCAUAUCAUGGCUUUGUCACCCAUCUAGGUGAUGACCAGCACACCUCGAUUUUGGUGCCUAUUGAAAUUCUGGUCGAGUUGUGUCAAGUUACAAUACUAGUUUUGCUUCACAACAUCCUAAAAGCCACGAUGCUGUAAGGACAUAGCUUCAAAUUUAAAAGAGCUUUUUCUUAUUUUAUUUUGGUAGAGGGUGAAUUUCACGGGAAGAGAUCCCCUCCAGAUCUCUCCCACCAAAGCCCACCGAUUAAUUAAUCCAGGCCCUUAAAAUUUGAUUCAACGGCUACAAACAGGAGCCCUCCUUAAAAGUUAUAACAAAUUUAACCGUUGGAUCAAAUUUCAAGGAUCCGGAUUAAUUGAUUGGUGAGAUUUGGUGGG